CGUGCAGGAAGACGGCCCUACGGGUUGUAAACUGCUUUUAUACCGGAAUAAACCCCCGUUCGUGAACGGGGCUGAAUGUACGGUUAAGAAUAAGGAUCGGACUUAACUCCGUGC
This 114-nucleotide ribosomal RNA is filed under the name uncultured bacterium. RNAcentral's name for it is "partial 16S ribosomal RNA". The record is from RNAcentral.